GGCUGGUCUGAGUGCAGUGGUGUUUACAACUAAUUGAUCACAACCAGUUACAGAUCUCUUUGUUCCUUCUCCACUCCCACCGCUUCACUUGACUAGUGAA
Molecule: Y RNA, 100 nt
Filed under: Aotus nancymaae (Ma's night monkey)
Lineage: Eukaryota; Metazoa; Chordata; Mammalia; Primates; Aotidae
Description: Y RNA (ENSANAG00000001569.1)
Rfam family: Y RNA
About the family: Y RNAs are components of the Ro ribonucleoprotein particle (Ro RNP), in association with Ro60 and La proteins. The Y RNAs and Ro60 and La proteins are well conserved, but the function of the Ro RNP is not known.
Source: RNAcentral